Molecule: long non-coding RNA, 1656 nt
Organism: Topomyia yanbarensis
Lineage: Eukaryota; Metazoa; Arthropoda; Insecta; Diptera; Culicidae
Exons: 4
Source: RefSeq, a predicted model, not a curated record
CAAUUGUCAAAACAAAGACGAUAGUGGUUCGGCAGAGUAAACCUAGUGCAAGUGCCAGUUAUCAGCUCAGUGAAUUUUCUAAUUUUUCCUAUUAUUUUCUACCUUAUUAGUUGAAUUUUUUUUACUAUAAUUAUAUACUUCUACGAGAAAUUCUUAAGCUAUGUUAUCAUAAAACAUAACCUUAGCGAAUGAGUCUGCCUAGUGAGUCAGCAAGAAAUAGCUAAACGAUUGGAAAGGAAAUAGUUGAAGUUUAGUUGUGGCGAAAUAGGAGAUUAAGUCUCAUACCGCAUGAAAAGAAUUGGCCUAUCACUAUAAAAUUCUACAGCUGAUCCUAAUACGACUACGGUUUUUGUGAUCUGCUACGGGAAAUAGUGGGCUUCUCGUUACUUGAAGUAACAGGUAGUAUACAUCUAUGACCAUUCCUGGUACAUUUUGCAUUAAAUGAAUCGGAUAUUCGGAUUAAAUACAUGGUUUCGAGAUAAACGUAUUUAAUGCGGUUCACUACAAAAAUUCAAACCCAUUAACAAACAUUGGCUUCUAUAGAAUAUGUAUGUAUGAGAUCGACUACCGUCAUAAAGUGAAUUUCUAAACAUAAGGACUUAAUUUAUUGAAUAUUUCGUGACCAAUUCCAAUAUACGCUGUCGUUGUCCUCCAAAUUACGACAGAAUCAGAGCAAAUCUAUCAGCUGUAAGAAAAGUACUCUAUGCGUUAUAUAUUAUAAAACAUUCGUUCACAGUACUAAAUUGAUACAACUAGCGGACUAUAUUAGAAGAAAUCUCUAAUGAAUGAUUUUGCGCACUUUCCACUAACCUGAACUCUGCACUUCAAAAGUGUGAGUAAUCAAGCUGCUAAUGAAAACUGCGAGCUGUCAAAACACAUGUAUUUGAAGUUAUAGAGAUGGUACUCUCAUAGACAAGCCAGUCGAACUAACCAGUCUUUGAGAUAAUUUUUUAGUAGAAUGUUAAGUGCGAAUAGUUUUUGUGCCACAAGCAAUACUUGCAUUGAAAUAGUAAUUUUUACUUGCUCGUCAACUCCUCACGCUGGCUUUUCCCAGAUAACGAAUUAACUGGUUUAUUUUGCCGAUUGGUAUUUUCCCGAAUGGGUUGUUUUGCCGAAUUAAGUAUAAAAAGUUAUUUUCAAUGGCAAUUAAAUAGUAUAAAGGAUGAUUCAAUAUUUAAAUUUGACAAAAAGCAUGGAUGUGAAAUGAUAAAUUAUAGAAUAAAUGUAAAGAAUAGUUAAGGUAAUUAUUAAAAUCAAACUUUAAAUGAAAAUAAUUUCUCUUUGAGCGUUUUGGUGGAAUGCUGAAAAUGAAAAUUUUGAAAAUGCUGAAUUUAAAUGAAAAUUAAAAUGCCUAAAGAAAUGAAAUAUCUCUGCAUUAAUUCCUACUAUCGUGAUUCACUUGCUUCUCUUAUUCAUACACAUAAUCUUAGGUUUAGAUCAUUUCAGCAAGUAUAUACCAAAGUUUUAUAAAUCUGUACUAAUUGAGAUUUGAACACGACUGAACAACAUUGUUACUACUAAUAAUACUGUAAUACUGAUUCUUCUUGACGAAAAAAACAGUUUGCACAAUACUGUUCAAAUAAUUACUCACGAUAAUUUACUAUAUAUUAGUGAGACGGAACUUUAUUCCAUUUACCAUCUUAGUAAAAUUGGUAG